GCCGGACAUGGCAUGUGCCUGUAGUCCCAGCUGCCUGGGAGGCUGAGGUAGAAGGAUCACUUAAGCCCAGGAGUUCUGGGCGGUGGUACGCUACGCCCUUCAGGUGUCCGCACUAAGGUUGCAUCAAUAAUGACCUACCCAGAGCGGGAACCAACAGAUUGCCUAAGGAAGGGUGAACCGGCCCAGGUCAGAAACAGAGCGGGUCAAAACAACCCUGCUGAUCAGUGGUGGGUCUGUGUCUGAACAGCCAUUGUACUCCAGCCUGAGCAACAAUAGCGGGACCCUGUCUCUU
This is an unclassified non-coding RNA of Ailuropoda melanoleuca (giant panda), 292 nucleotides long. It matches the Rfam family "Metazoan signal recognition particle RNA". Rfam says of the family: The signal recognition particle (SRP) is a universally conserved ribonucleoprotein. It is involved in the co-translational targeting of proteins to membranes. The record is from Ensembl. Lineage: Eukaryota; Metazoa; Chordata; Mammalia; Carnivora; Ursidae.